Long non-coding RNA from Austrofundulus limnaeus, 454 nucleotides. RefSeq lists it as uncharacterized. The record is from RefSeq and is a predicted model, not a curated record. The transcript has 2 exons. NCBI's taxonomy places the organism in Eukaryota, Metazoa, Chordata, Actinopteri, Cyprinodontiformes, Rivulidae.
CAAACUAACAUGUAAUAUUCUUUUAUGCUAUUUUAACCAGACUGUACCUGGCUGCAAUGCAUUUCAAUGAAAAUGCACGUCUGCAGGCAACUACCUCAUCUGGGGAGCCCAUGUAGAUUAUUCUUUCCCAAGUUCAAGAAAGGAGAAGGCACAGCAAAGCCUAUCAGAACUCCUGAAACCCUAAACUGCGCUGUGGAUUCAUCUCCAGUUGUCCCAGACAAGGCCAGCAUCUCCACACCACCUCCUGAUGCACGCGUCUUCACUACACAUCCUGAUGCAUGCGUCUUCACUACACGUCCUGAUGCCACAUCUUCACACCACCCUCUGCACUACAUCUGAACUCAGUCUACACCCAGUGGGAGUAUCCUUCACAACAGGAUCACACAUACUUCCACACAUCUUGCAGAAAGGACGUGCAGGACAAGAUGACUCAGUGUGAUGAGGUUGCAUAUUU